Corticium candelabrum is the source of this 263-nucleotide long non-coding RNA. RefSeq lists it as uncharacterized. NCBI's taxonomy places the organism in Eukaryota, Metazoa, Porifera, Homoscleromorpha, Homosclerophorida, Plakinidae. The transcript is spliced from 4 exons. The record is from RefSeq and is a predicted model, not a curated record.
GUUUACUUCCUUUCACAUCUGGCAGUUCGUUAACAAUCAACCCAGAUCAUGGAUCUGCAGAUCACCUAAAAGAAUGGUAUGAAUCUGUUGAAUUCCAACGACAUCACCUUCAAUCCAUUACCACCCAGCAGACAUACAUCAAUACACCCACAAAACUAUUGAGUCAAAUCAAAGAUGAAAAUCUUGGCCAUGGAGACAAGUCGGACUAUUUCAAUGUGCAAGCAACUGUACUGUUUUUCAAGAAAGAUAAUGCUCUUUACGAA